UACGUAGGUGGCAAGCGUUGUCCGGAAUUACUGGGCGUAAAGGGCGUGUAGGCGGCGAUUUAAGUCAGAUGCGAAAGAUCAGGGCUUAACCCUGGAGGUGCAUUUGAGACUGGAUGGCUUGAGGACCGGAGAGGGCAGUGGAAUUCCCAGUGUAGCGGUGAAAUGCGUAGAUAUUGGGAGGAACACCAGUGGCGAAGGCGACUGCCUGGACGGCACCUGACGCUGAGGCGCGAAAGCUAGGGGAGCAAACGGG
RNAcentral lists this ribosomal RNA (253 nucleotides) under uncultured bacterium. RNAcentral describes it as "partial 16S ribosomal RNA". It matches the Rfam family "Bacterial small subunit ribosomal RNA", at positions 524 to 776 of the family's 1533-position model. The record is from RNAcentral.